Molecule: ribosomal RNA, 460 nt
Filed under: uncultured bacterium
Lineage: Bacteria
Description: partial 16S ribosomal RNA
Rfam family: Bacterial small subunit ribosomal RNA
Source: RNAcentral
CCUACGUGGGGCAGCAGUGAGGAAUAUUGGUCAAUGGGCGCGAGCCUGAACCAGCCAAGUAGCGUGAAGGAUGACUGCCCUACGGGUUGUAAACUUCUUUUAUAAGGGAAUAAAGUGAGGCACGUGUGCCUUUUUGUAUGUACUUUAUGAAUAAGGAUCGGCUAACUCCGUGCCAGCAGCCGCGGUAAUACGGAGGAUCCGAGCGUUAUCCGGAUUUAUUGGGUUUAAAGGGAGCGGAGAUGGGUUGUUAAGUCAGUUGUGAAAGUUUGCGGCUCAACCGUAAAAUUGCAAUUGAUACUGGCAGUCUUGAGUACAGUUGAGGUAGGCGGAAUUCGUGGUGUAGCGGUGAAAUGCUUAGAUAUCACGAAGAACUCCGAUUGCGAAGGCAGCUUACUAAACUGCCACUGACAUUGAUGCUCGAAAGUGUGGGUAUCAAACAGGAUUAGAUACCCCAGUAGUC